UACGAAGGGUGCAAGCGUUACUCGGAAUUACUGGGCGUAAAGCGUGCGUAGGUGGUUUGUUAAGUCUGAUGUGAAAGCCCCGGGCUCAACCUGGGAAUGGCAUUGGAAACUGGCUUGCUAGAGUGUGGCAGAGGGGGGUGGAAUUCCGCGUGUAGCAGUGAAAUGCGUAGAGAUGCGGAGGAACACCGAUGGCGAAGGCAGCCCCCUGGGCCAACACUGACGCUCAGGCACGAAAGCGUGGGGAGCAAACAGG
Molecule: ribosomal RNA, 253 nt
Filed under: uncultured bacterium
Lineage: Bacteria
Description: partial 16S ribosomal RNA
Rfam family: Bacterial small subunit ribosomal RNA
Source: RNAcentral